CGCCUAUUCCCUCUUACCGUACAAUUGAGAAGAAGUAAGAUGCCCUUCACUUUGAUAUUUAAAACCCCAGUCCCUGUCCCAUUCUUUUUCCUUCCUCCCCAUCUUCAUAUCAAACAAUGCUUCAUAUGGCUUCAUCCAUAAACUAAGUUGGUAAUUCUCGCCUGCACACUGAUACCGAAUUGCUCUUUCUUGAUUCUAUUUGCCCAUGUCUGCUGGAAUAAAACGUUAUAAUUCAGUUGUUCCUAACCAUUGCCUUGAAACAUUCUUAGGUCAUGGCCCAAGUGUUGCAGUGAUGUGUGCACUGCUUUUAGCUCUUGGCUUGGCAGAAGAUUGGAAAAAUGCUGAAAAGUUAAUCCGAGAAAGAAGGCCUUAUAUUCAUAUGAAAGCUCUUCAUCGCAAAGCCUAGGAAGAAUGGUCGAAACACCGGUUAUCUUCUCCCACCAAACACCAAGAAGUCGGUGUAAGCUCUGUAAUUUUUGAGUGAUCUUUAGACGCUCUUAACAAAUAUUUUUGGAACCUCUAUUGUAUUUGAUAUAUCUAUAAAGGAUCUCAUCAUCGACAUUUAUUUCCUUGUAUGAGAUGGAUGUAGAAUGA
Molecule: long non-coding RNA, 594 nt
Filed under: Olea europaea subsp. europaea
Lineage: Eukaryota; Viridiplantae; Streptophyta; Magnoliopsida; Lamiales; Oleaceae
Source: RNAcentral